UGAGCAAUCUGCCCUUCUCAUCGGAAUAAGCGUUGGAAACGACGUCUAAUGCCGAAUACGACCUCCUUUCGCAUGAUCGGAGGUGGAAAGCUCCGGCGGAGAAGGAUGAGCUCGCGGCCUGUCAGCUAGUUGGUGUGGGUAAUGGCCCACCAAGGCGAUGACGGGUAGCCGGCCUGGAGAGGGUGACCGGCCAUACGUGGGACUGAGACACGGCCCAGCUCCUAGAGAGG
RNAcentral lists this ribosomal RNA (230 nucleotides) under uncultured bacterium. Its description in RNAcentral is "partial 16S ribosomal RNA". It matches the Rfam family "Bacterial small subunit ribosomal RNA", at positions 118 to 346 of the family's 1533-position model. The record is from RNAcentral.